Molecule: long non-coding RNA, 3029 nt
Filed under: Mytilus galloprovincialis (Mediterranean mussel)
Lineage: Eukaryota; Metazoa; Mollusca; Bivalvia; Mytilida; Mytilidae
Source: RNAcentral
UGAGAAGAAUUAUGAAACUGCUAUUUUGUUAUACAGAAUUGUUUUUUUAAGUGUUGUGUACUUUAUAAGUACAAAAUGAGCACAUCCACUACUGUAUUGCACAGAUUAGAAGAUUAAAUUUUGCAAUUUUUGAUGUUUUUAGUCAAAAUCAAGUCCAGUAACUCUGUUCAUCUGUGGUUAAUCUCUGAGUCAAAAGUCUUAACAUAUAUAAUGCAACUAUUAUCACACUGUCGUAGUAACUGGUCAGCAUUGUACCCCAUUAAGUCAAUAUAAAUGUUAAUAUUUCAAGUUUAGUCAUUGUCAGUUUAAACCAUUGCUAGGUAUUUUAAUUAUAUUGUUGAAAAAAUCAACAUCCUCAAUCAUGGUGAUACUGGCUAAGCAUAAUACAUUGUACAUGUUUUGGUUCUUGAAUGAAGUUUUAGGAACAGCAAUAUCUGAAUAAAAACAAUUGUUUUUAAUGCAAAAAUUCUUAAAAUUAUAGUAUUAAAUUUUCUUAUAUUGAAAGAGUAACAUAUUCAUGAUGAACGUAUACAUUAAAAUCAGCAGUUUACUCAGUAGCCAAUUUAUUUUACUUUAAAAAAACAAGAAAAAUGGCUGUGUCCAACAUAAAAAAUUAUACAAAAAAAAUAAAUUAAAAAAUCUUGGAAGAAUAGACAUGUUUUUUUUUGUUCUGAAGUAUUGUAAUAGUCUGUAUUGUUGAAUUAUUCCCAACAUAAAGUAUAUACUAUUAUAGUAUUAAUGAAUGGGUGUUUUUAUAAUGGCCCUGUUAUUUGUCCAAGGUCUGUUAUAAUGGUCGAGGAAGUCUGUAAUGGCCCGAGGCAACGCCGAGGGACAUUACAGACAUCCGAGGCCAUUAUUACUGACCGAGGACAUAUAACAGAGCCAUUAUUAAAAAAACACCCAUUUCUUAAUACAUUUAUUAACCAACUGAAUAAAAGUGUAUGUGUUAAUAUACCAAAUAUCCAAGAUAUUAAGUUGACAGAAGUUAUGUGUUGAAAAACAGGAGGAACAGUGAUCCCUAUAUAUGGUUCUUUAAUGUUGGUUGCUGGUUACUAAAUUAAAUAAAAUACAAAAAAAGUAUUAUACUCUUUACAACUUAAUUUUAUUAACUUUAUUAAAAACCCUAACUGUGCUGUACACAGACAAACCGGGCAUUAAUACAGGGCCAUUACAGAAAAACAAGGCCAUUACAGAAAAACAAUUACAGGGCCAUUACAGAAAAUAUGUUAUUUUUAAUAACCAGUCAUUUUUGGCAAUAAUGUACUUAGUUGGUUAAUAAAGUCUAAUAAAUUAAUUAGUUUUGCCCUUAGAUCUCAAAAUAUUCUCUGAGUUGUGCCUUAAAAUAAACAGGUUUUACUUUUACAUUCUUCUUAAUGGUUGAACAAAUGGUAGCUUCAUUAUUGUUUAAACUUGUGCCAUUCGAGGAAUUAUUGCAUCUUGAAAUUCUUAAAAAGAUUUCUGAAAUGUUUAUGGAAAGAGAAAAAGAUCUGAAAUAUUUAUUGAAAGAGAAUUUAUUUAUUAAAUGUAACAAUUUUGACGUUCAUUGCAUUUUUUCCAUUGCUUCUCAAGAUUGUACAGAUUUUAGAUAUAAACAGUGCAUGUAAAUAGGCUUUUAAUUUUAAUUUAAAUUUUUAACAUGCUAAAUUAUUGUAUUUAUGGGAGAUCUUACAAGAUUCAUUUUGUGUUCAAUUUAUUCACAUGUGGAAUAGGUGCAGAUUUUACUUUAGUAAAGAAACAGAAAAGAUGUUGCCUUUAACAGGAGCAUCAUGUCAUUAACAACGCAUUGUUUAUUAUCAAAGAUACUUGUUGAACCAUAAUUUGUAUUGACUAAGAUAUGAUACCAAUGGAUGUCCCUCUAGAAUAUUGUUGAUGCGUAACCAAAGUACAGAAGAUAUGUUUAAAUUAAAUAUAUUUGAAGAGUCACAUUUUAAAAGAAGGUUUUCUAUUUAUAUACUUACAAGUAUGACAUAUUCUUACAGUAAAUGAACAGCUGUUUAUUUUUUACAUGGAAGCUUCAAAUGACAAUGACCUCAAAAAUAUGUUUUGAUUCAAUUUUAAUUUAAUAAAAGUUCUUUCAAAUUGGUAAAAGUUUUGAUGGUAAAUUAAAUUGAAACAGGCUGAGGUCAAAUCCCUUGGGACAUAUGCGUUUGAUAAUUUGUAACUUUAUAUGAUUUCAGUGGCAUCCAUUGGUCUAUCUAUUCAUACAUGUUACAAAGGGUACAUUAUAUUAUGUAAACAAAGUUUUGUUCAAUUUAUCAUCAGAAAAAUAUUGAUAUUUUUAUGUGAAUCUCUGUUCUUUGCGUAAUACUCGCUCAAAACUGGAACAAAUUUGGUUUCAUUUAUUGUUUUGGUAACUGUAUUACUUUAUAUUUACAUCAAUUCAUCUUUUUACUUGUACAAUUAUAAAAAAUAACUAAAAGUGAAUAAUGCAAUACUAAUUAACCUAUCUAUAUAUAUUUUUUUGGGGUAAAACUGGUGUUUUGAUAAACCAAUUUAUAUACAUGUGUAAGCAGACAUUUUCAAUCUUAAACUAGACUAAUGCCUUGUACAUAAAGUCAUGUUGUAAUUGAUAGUUACAUUUUUUAAGGCCAUGGGAAAUUAAUUUCUUAUUUUUCAGAUUUUAUCUUGAAAGAAAAGGGGAGGUAAUAAACUUUCCCCAAUAUCUAUUAAACCAUAACUCUAUAUCUAUUAUACCAUAACUCAAUUUCGAAAGUAUUUUUCCAUGAGCAAUUAUUUCUUAGAAUAAAAAUUAAAAUCUGACAUGUCUAGAGAAAAUUUAUUGCUGUUCUACAAAAAAAAAAAAGAGUGCUUUGGACAUCUAAAGAGUAUGAAUUUGAAAAACAGGAAAUUAAUUUGAUGUUGCCUUAGUCAUGAAUUUUAUGUGUACCUUUUUAGUGCUGUUAUAUAUUGUCCCCCCAAAGUUCAGUGUUUUAAUGCUUUAAAAGUUUAUUCUGUGUAUUUUAUAGUGAGAAAGAAAGUAAAUAAGAAUUAUAUUGUAAUUUUUACAUGAAUAAAGUUGAUAGAAUUAG